Molecule: ribosomal RNA, 496 nt
Filed under: uncultured bacterium
Lineage: Bacteria
Description: partial 16S ribosomal RNA
Rfam family: Bacterial small subunit ribosomal RNA
Source: RNAcentral
AUGAACGCUGGCGGCGUGCCUAAUACAUGCAAGUCGAGCGAACGGACGAGAAGCUUGCUUCUCUGAUGUUAGCGGCGGACGGGUGAGUAACACGUGGAUAACCUACCUAUAAGACUGGGAUAACUUCGGGAAACCGGAGCUAAUACCGGAUAAUAUUUUGAACCGCAUGGUUCAAAAGUGAAAGACGGUCUUGCUGUCACUUAUAGAUGGAUCCGCGCUGCAUUAGCUAGUUGGUAAGGUAACGGCUUACCAAGGCAACGAUGCAUAGCCGACCUGAGAGGGUGAUCGGCCACACUGGAACUGAGACACGGUCCAGACUCCUACGGGAGGCAGCAGUAGGAAAUCUUCCGCAAUGGGCGAAAGCCUGACGGAGCAACGCCGCGUGAGUGAUGAAGGUCUUCGGAUCGUAAAACUCUGUUAUUAGGGAAGAACAUAUGUGUAAGUAACUGUGCACAUCUUGACGGUACCUAAUCAGAAAGCCACGGCUAACUACGUG